AGCAUCAUGUCCAUCUCCAGAUAUGGCCUCAGUGGGUUUGUGAAGUGAAGAAAGCAAGAGCUCACAACCAGUGAUUUCCAGUUGCACCCCCAUGUUAUUGAACAGCCUCCUUCUAGAAAUUGAAUCAGCACAACCAUUUUGCCCUCUGAAACUAUGAAAGACUGAGAUAUCAUAGAGAGCAUUUGGAGAACAAAUGGUCAUUAUUGUUCCUACUGUUUUAUUGGGAAUGUCCUGUGGAAUUGGGAUCAUAGAAAACACCCAAGAGCAUAGAAGAGUUCAGAGGCAGGUGCAUAAAUAAAUGUCUUAAACGUA
Long non-coding RNA from Pantherophis guttatus, 312 nucleotides. RefSeq lists it as uncharacterized. Lineage: Eukaryota; Metazoa; Chordata; Lepidosauria; Squamata; Colubridae. The record is from RefSeq and is a predicted model, not a curated record.